GUCGAGCGAAUCUUGAGGUGCUUGCACCUCUUGGUUAGCGGCGGACGGGUGAGUAACACGUGGGCAACCUGCCUGUAAGACUGGGAUAACUUCGGGAAACCGGAGCUAAUACCGGAUAAUCCUUUUCCUCUCAUGAGGAAAAGCUGAAAGUCGGUUUACGCUGACACUUACAGAUGGGCCCGCGGCGCAUUAGCUAGUUGGUGAGGUAACGGCUCACCAAGGCGACGAUGCGUAGCCGACCUGAGAGGGUGAUCGGCCACACUGGGACUGAGACACGGCCCAGACUCCUACGGGAGGCAGCAGUAGGGAAUCUUCCGCAAUGGACGAAAGUCUGACGGAGCAACGCCGCGUGAGCGAUGAAGGCCUUCGGGUCGUAAAGCUCUGUUGUUAGGGAAGAACAAGUACCGGAGUAACUGCCGGUACCUUGACGGUACCUAACCAGAAAGCCACGGCUAACUACGUGCCAGCAGCCGCGGUAAUACGUAGGUGGCAAGCGUUGUCCGGAAUUAUUGGGCGUAAAGCGCGCGCAGGCGGUCCUUUAAGUCUGAUGUGAAAGCCCACGGCUCAACCGUGGAGGGUCAUUGGAAACUGGGGGACUUGAGUACAGAAGAGGAAAGCGGAAUUCCACGUGUAGCGGUGAAAUGCGUAGAGAUGUGCAGGAACACCAGUGGCGAAGGCGGCUUUCUGGUCUGUAACUGACGCUGAGGCGCGAAAGCGUGGGGAGCAAACAGGAUU
This 735-nucleotide ribosomal RNA is filed under the name Neobacillus niacini. RNAcentral's name for it is "bacterial SSU rRNA". It matches the Rfam family "Bacterial small subunit ribosomal RNA", at positions 61 to 779 of the family's 1533-position model. The record is from RNAcentral. Lineage: Bacteria; Bacillati; Bacillota; Bacilli; Caryophanales; Bacillaceae.